This 253-nucleotide ribosomal RNA is filed under the name uncultured bacterium. RNAcentral's name for it is "partial 16S ribosomal RNA". It matches the Rfam family "Bacterial small subunit ribosomal RNA", at positions 524 to 776 of the family's 1533-position model. The record is from RNAcentral.
UACAGAGGGGGCCAGCGUUAUUCGGAAUUAUUGGGCGUAAAGGGCGCGUAGGCGGCUUUGCGUGUCUUUCGUGAAAUCCCUCGGCUCAACCGGGGAACUGCGUCUGAUACUGGGUGGCUUGAAUCCGGGAGAGGGAUGCGGAAUUCCAGGUGUAGCGGUGAAAUGCGUAGAUAUCUGGAGGAACACCGGUGGCGAAGGCGGCAUCCUGGACCGGCAUUGACGCUGAGGCGCGAAAGCCAGGGGAGCAAACGGG